CCACCCAUGCUGAAUGCGGUGAUCCUCCACUUCCAGACCAUCUUGUGGCAUUUCAUGAGCACUCAGUAUCCUGGGUGUGAAUGUGCACCUACCGCACUGGGCAAGAGGAAAUAGAAACCGACUAGACUAUCUUAUCUUCAUUGGGGAGCUAUCAGAGACUCACAGUGUUCAAGCUACAGACCUGGGCUUGAGAAAUAAGCAAGAAUAAGUGAAAUACAGAAGUUUGGCUGCAGAGACCGGAGAAAAGGCCAUGCCAUAGAUCGGAUCUGUUCUGUGUGCAGCCACUACUGCAGGGAUGGAUUUGACCUCCAAACGUUCUCACCACGGUGGAGGGAAUUCCCAUUCAUAGGGACACCUUAAAUUAGGGGAUCUCUAUCUUCUAUUCUUCCCAGGUCUUCUACUUUCUUAAUUAACAUAAUUAAAGUCUUCUUGGAGGCAGGGGGAAUGGAUGAAUUUAGGCCCCACCCACAAUCCUGAAGAGUAAAUCCUUCUCAGCUGUGAACUAUGAAAACUCAGCAAGCAAAUCCAUGUGCUUGGGAGCCAUCCUUCCAACUCUCAGAGUAGUCAGAGCAAACACCACAGGAAGCUGUCUGAGUACACAACAAGGUGAUGCCUAAUAAACAAUUUCCAGCAUUUUGUGGCUGAUAAUAAUUGCUCACUUAAGCGUCCCUAAGCUUUAAUUUGGUUGGUCUGUAAUCAAUGGCUGUUUCGCCCUGAGGUAGGGAAAGGCUGAGUGACAGAAAAAUAGCAAGCUCCUGUGUGUUGCCAAUCCUGGGAGCCGAAGGAAACGAGAAAAAGCUUUCCUGGUUUGCAAAUGGAUGGAGAUGGGAAGUGGAGGAAGGCUGGAUCUCGACUUUGCAGCUUUGGCAUUCCUGUGACAGCAUGAACACCUUGAAGGGACUCCACCCUGCCAGGACACAUCCACCAUCAGUUGGCAUUCAACAGAGUCCCUGAGUGAAAUCACUCUUUCCGAGUUAGGAUGGUGCCCUGGCUUGCCAAUUGUUGUACCUCUGGCCACAAUGCACCUGUGCAUGCCUUGGACUCACCUUAGGGUGUCAAUACUGCAAUGGCAGCCCCAGAACCCACUCAACCAGCUUAGCACCAAACCCAAAUUUAGUGUUCACUAAUGGGUUUUCAAGAUGGUCAGUGCCAUAUCUUCUCCCUUGGAAUAGCUUCAUGCUGACAGCACACCUAUUUUCCCUCCUUCUGGGCCCACGGAAGAGAACAGACUUCUCAAGGAGAUGCUUACGCGAGGGUGAGAGAGGUGGCUCCUGCCGGGUCACAAGGUCCUCAGCCGGUUCGCAGCAGGCAUCCUGCCACCAGUCCCUCUGUACCCAUGGCUGUGCACGGAGCUCAUCCGCUUGGCGUCCUUCCCCCCAGCAUGCUCUUGUUUUCAACAUAUCUCUUCCCAGCACAGCUUCCCUGCCAGCUACCGUCUAUUAACCAGAGUCUGCUCUUGAGAUGAAAUCUAUUUGCCGUGCCAGAGGUAAAUGGAUCCCAUGAAACGUUGAAGUGAGCCAUAAGACAGAGAAGACAUUUCAUUCCAGCGACUUCAUUACAUGGUAUCCGUGAACCCUGCU
Microcebus murinus (gray mouse lemur) is the source of this 1580-nucleotide non-coding RNA. NCBI's taxonomy places the organism in Eukaryota, Metazoa, Chordata, Mammalia, Primates, Cheirogaleidae. The record is from RefSeq and is a predicted model, not a curated record.